Molecule: long non-coding RNA, 236 nt
Filed under: Elaeis guineensis (African oil palm)
Lineage: Eukaryota; Viridiplantae; Streptophyta; Magnoliopsida; Arecales; Arecaceae
Description: long non-coding RNA (EGUI_LNC014466)
Source: RNAcentral
CAUUCGAGCCCCUACUGUAAACACGUUUCUUCCAAACUUUCAUUAUAGGUAGACUUCAACCGAGCUUCUUCGUAGCUGGAUCCCAGACGAGCUUUUACAGUGGGACAGGACCCACCGACCAGAUCGCUACUCCGAGCUCCCACAACAAUCGAUCUUCGAUCGAGCUUCUACAAUAAGCGGUCUCCUUUUGGCCUUCUACAAGAACCAGACCUCGACCGAACUUUCAUAGCGGAUGG